RNAcentral lists this ribosomal RNA (441 nucleotides) under uncultured bacterium. Its description in RNAcentral is "partial 16S ribosomal RNA". It matches the Rfam family "Bacterial small subunit ribosomal RNA", at positions 338 to 795 of the family's 1533-position model. The record is from RNAcentral.
CCUACGGGAGGCAGCAGUGGGGAAUAUUGGGCAAUGGGCGCAAGCCUGACCCAGCAACGCCGCGUGAAGGAAGAAGGCUUUCGGGUUGUAAACUAUUGUCGUUAGGGAAGAUAAAAGACUGUACCUAAGGAGGAAGCCCCGGCUAACUAUGUGCCAGCAGCCGCGGUAAUACAUAGGGGGCAAGCGUUAUCCGGAAUUAUUGGGUGUAAAGGGUGCGUAGACGGAAGAACAAGUUGGUUGUGAAAUCCCUCGGCUCAACUGAGGAACUGCAACCAAAACUAUUCUCCUUGAGUGUCGGAGAGGAAAGUGGAAUUCCUAGUGUAGCGGUGAAAUGCGUAGAUAUUAGGAGGAACACCAGUGGCGAAGGCGACUUUCUGGACGAUAACUGACGUUGAGGCACGAAAGUGUGGGGAGCAAACAGGAUUAGAUACCCCAGUAGUC